Papilio polytes (common Mormon) is the source of this 1510-nucleotide RNA transcript. RefSeq lists it as uncharacterized. Lineage: Eukaryota; Metazoa; Arthropoda; Insecta; Lepidoptera; Papilionidae. The record is from RefSeq and is a predicted model, not a curated record. The transcript has 3 exons.
GUGUUGACUAUAUUUCUUCUUCUAAAAUCUUCUGAAUGUCAAAGUCGUUUGCUGUCGUCUUUAUGACAAGUUUGGUUGAAGCAUGUCAAGAGAUAUUUUGUUUACUCAUUGUUUACUGUUUUUGCUAAUUAUUUUGGAGAAUGUGUGUUCAAAACAUAAAUCUCAUCAACAUCACCAUAACCUGGACCAUGGACACGGGUCCGGAUCGGAUUUGCAAAUAAUAAAAAACUUGGAUGAUCAAACGUACGAGGAACUCAUGAACGAAAUACCAUUACUGAAAAAAGUAUUUAAAGGUAACAGAAAAGAUGGUAGCUUCCAAUUUAACUCAUCUGCCUUGCCUAUGUUAUAUAGAGGAGAAAUAUUAGAACGACCUAAUGGUCCGCCGGUCAUGAUGAAUUUCGACGUUACAACACUCCCUUCACCAACUCCAAGGGCAGCGUAUCGCAAUAGUUCAUUUGGAAGAGGGAAGUCAGUCACAUAUAGAACACGCUGGCCUACCGUUCAACAUGCGACAAGGAGCUUGUAUAACGCACGCCGCCAAGGACCCUGGCAACUCGGUUUCCGCUGGGGGGAUCUUACAUUCACUGCAUACUGGUACACUGUAUACCCGCACAUUAUAUCCUGCUACUGGUGCGGCCUCAACGACACCUUGAUUCCGAGUAACUCGCUUUGCUAUACUAUCUGGGAUGCGGAGGACACCCGCAUGCGUGAUAUUGGCCGAUUCUUUCGUGCACGUUGUCAUUACUACGAUUACUAUCGUUUUUACGAUAGACAAAUAAAACUGGUCCGAUGGUACCCGUCCACUAUUGAAUACGUAUACGAUCAUGGAUUAAAAACAUGUAUGUUCGGUCCGUACAUGAAGGGUUGCUUCAAGCGGUUCUUGGAUGUAGGCCCGCUGUACACGGCGCGCGGUUGUCGCGGCGCCUUCCUGCCGUGGCGCGCCUACACAAGGAGUUUCGCGGCGCAUAGGCUUAUGCGCUUAGAAAUAGUCGCGCGCGGUCACGACGAUGUGUGUAUUCACAGUCCCGAAGCUGCGUUGACGCCAUACAGCCGCGCCAUCUCGCUAUGGGUCCGUUACCACGUGUGUGUGUGUAACAAACCUUACUGCAACGCUGGCGCGCCGCUCGCCGCACUGCUUACCUCGCUCGGCAAGUCCUUCGCUGCGAUCAUCGUACUUGUUACAAGAAAUGUUGCGUGCAAGGAAGUAGAAGCAAUAUGAUACAAAUUACUACUUUGCAACGGAAAACUACCGCUCAAUUGUCCAUAACUGUAGAUCAAUGAGUCAUACUCGUAACAAAAAAAUGGCCUGAGUAACUCAGCUGUGUCGGUUUUGUGACUUGCACUAUCCAAAGCGAAUAAUAAAAAACUUCACCUCUAUACAGACUGUCGCGAAACUUUAACCGGUUGGAAACUAUAAUUCGACUGUUCAGUUACAACUGAAGCGCUGACGCCGCGGUCGACCGCUAGUUCAUCAUAAUGUUGAUCUCACAUCCAUGUUCGUACAUUAUCA